CUGGAGCAUCACCUGUAAAACAGAGAGGGAGAUCUGUAAGUCACAAUGGGAGCUAUUGUAGCAUUAGCUGUGUUGCUGGGAGCUUUAUCAUACGUUCGCUGUGUUGAACUCACACAGCCAGGCUCUAUGGUUGUAAAACCAGGACAGUCUCUGACCAUCUCCUGUAAACUCUCUGGGUAUUCUCUGACCGAUGGCAGCUAUGGUACAGCCUGGAUCCGACAGCCUGCAGGGAAAGCUCUGGAGUGGAUCGGGCGAUAUUGGGUGGGUGGGGGAACCAACCAAUAUCUUUAUAAAGAUUCCCUGAAAAGCAAGUUCACCAUCUCUAUAGACACUUCCAGUAACACAAUAUCUUUACAAGGGAGCAGCCUGCAGACUGGAGACUCAGCUGUGUAUUACUGUGCCCGAGACCCACAGUGCAGCAAAACAACGCUAGAGCUGUACAAAAACACAUCACACUGAGUGUCACCACUGAACGCACACACUCCACCUGCAUGUAGCACUCACUGUCCAUUCACCAUUAUCUGAAAAUAGCAAGAAAAAUAAU
Anguilla anguilla (European eel) is the source of this 544-nucleotide non-coding RNA. Lineage: Eukaryota; Metazoa; Chordata; Actinopteri; Anguilliformes; Anguillidae. The record is from the annotation of a RefSeq genome assembly.